AUCCGGAAGCUUGCCAGGAUAACUAGAAGAAGGUGAACCACAAUGUUCAACAGCACUUGCUAGAGCUAAGUGCAAAUCGGUCUCUUCCUGCAACUGCUACUGCAACUUUUUAACCUGUAUCACCCAAGUGGUAGCAUGUUGCAUGAGAAUGAGAUAUAAAUCCUGCACAAAGCUGGCUGUUAUCGGUAAGAAAAAAAAGAAAAUCAAAACAUGUAUAUCAUGAUAACGGCAUGUCAUUCAUUAGCAAAACCGUUAAUUCUGAACGAGUAAACAAUUGUUUCAUGUUUUCAUAUGUCUCCCCUUAAAAGUCUAUUGUUAUGCCGAUGCUUCUUUGCUUCCUAGUAGAAUGCAUCAAAUCAACCCUCGAUAAGCUUAAGAUUUAUAAAGACGAGGAGUGAGAGUGAUGUAGAUUCGUAGACUAAAAACAAGUUCAAAAACCCUUACUUCUUGCAAUCUCCAUCUUUUUGGGGGGACAAAAACAUAAGAAAGGGAAAAUUUUCUAGAGAAAUUGAUUUUCGAACAAAUACGCCAAAACAAAUAAUGAAAUAGAAUUAGAAUCCUCUUACUUCUUGCUCAAGUUGGUAUUUAUAAUUUCACAUCUGUUGAUUUGUCUCUUGUCCACUCCUUUCAUGGGACUUACCAUCCUGGUAUAACAACAUGAUUCCAGAAUCUAAAACUCUUUUCAACAAACCUAAACAAAUAUAUCAUAAAUUCAUAAUAAAAACCCUUGCUCUCUUAGUAAAAUGACUUGCUCCAAACCUUACCACUCUUCAAUUGUAAAUACCCAUUAAUAGAACUUCUUCCCCUGCAAAACCAUCAACCAUACUGCAUUCACCAUUACAAAACCAGAAAAAAAAAAGCAGAAAAUGAAAAAGGACAAAAAAAAGACCCACCAACUGAUUGGUAGAAUAAAACCCCCAUUAUAACCAUCUCAAAAAUGAAAAGCUAUUAAACUAAAAUAUGAGCAUGAAUUUAAUAGUAAAAACAAUUGCACAUAAAAGAAUCAUGUAAAACAAACCUUAUUGGUGAGAAUUCCUUUGAUAAUCCUGCAAAACACUUCCAUUGCAUAUUUGUUCAACACAAACUCAAAUGUUGAAUAUCCUACCAUGGUACGAUACAGAUUUGCACAAACAGAAGCAUAACACAUUCAUAUCAAAGCACCAAUUUCA
RNAcentral lists this long non-coding RNA (1169 nucleotides) under Gossypium barbadense (sea-island cotton). Its description in RNAcentral is "long non-coding RNA (GBAR_LNC021123)". The record is from RNAcentral. Lineage: Eukaryota; Viridiplantae; Streptophyta; Magnoliopsida; Malvales; Malvaceae.